This 93-nucleotide ribosomal RNA is filed under the name Chinchilla lanigera (long-tailed chinchilla). Lineage: Eukaryota; Metazoa; Chordata; Mammalia; Rodentia; Chinchillidae. The record is from RNAcentral.
GUCUACCGCCCUACCACCCUGAAUGUGCCCAAUCUACUCUGAUCUCAGAAGCUAAGCAGGGUCUGUCCUGGUUAGUACUUGGAUGGGAAAAUU